This 3319-nucleotide unclassified non-coding RNA is filed under the name Hevea brasiliensis (rubber tree). Lineage: Eukaryota; Viridiplantae; Streptophyta; Magnoliopsida; Malpighiales; Euphorbiaceae. The record is from RNAcentral.
GAAGGCCCUAUCCCGCCCUUCGCCUACCUCCAUGGAGGCUUGGAAAGCAUCUCUGCUGCUUGCAAGUGGCAAUUAACUGUGUCUCGCACACAAAACCAAAUCGCCAGUCCCAAAUACAGCUCAGGCAGCCCGCAUAACUACACACAGGACAAACCAGGUGCUUCUUGCCUUUUAGUUUCUGUGGUAGUAUGGACAGGAACAAGCGAAAAUUUUUUAGGAAACUCCAAAACAAUCAAUUCAAGCGGAAAGGAGUCCAUAGAAGAGGAAAAUGGAAUAAUUUUAGCAGUGAAGAAUCUUUAGGGAAUUCACUUCCUGUUGAUACUGUUUAUCGCAUACUCUGCCCUUCAAGAAAAAUUGGGGGUGUUAUUGGAAAGGGUGGAAGUAUAGUUAAAGCCCUAAGGGAAGAGACCCAGGCCAAGAUCACGGUUGCUGAUUCAGUUUCUGGUUCAGAUGAAAGAGUAAUUAUUAUUUAUAGUUCUCCUGAAAAGAUUUCAAGGAAUCAGAAUAAUGAUGAGGAUUCAACCGUAGAGAAUGAACAGGAUACUAUGGAGCCUCUUUGUGCCGCUCAGGAUGCUCUAUUGAAAGUUCAUGAAAGGAUUGUUGAGGAAGAUCUUAUUGGCGGAAUGACAUCUGAUGAUGAUAAUGAAAGCAGUAUUGUUACAGCUAGGCUUUUAGUUCCCAACAAUAUGGUCGGAUGUCUUUUGGGCAAACGUGGAGAUGUCAUCCAGAGAUUGCGAAGUGAGACAGGUGCAAGCAUUCGUGUUCUUCCUGCAGAUCAUCUUCCCAUUUGUGCUAUGAGCACUGAUGAAUUGGUUCAGCAUGGUGGAAUGCAUGUCCUCUUGAUAAGGCAGGUCUUCUCCGGCUGUUUGCUUGCUUCUUGUGAGCGGCUGAAAUAGGUGCUGGCCUCGCAUUUAAGUGACAAAGACGUGACAACCAGUUUUCCAUCUGAGCUGGCAUGAUCUGUUUGACUGAUAUACUAUGUAUUGGAUCGAAGUUUCUGGGCUCAAGUUUGAGAGAUAUGUGCCCAAAUGUGAAUGCACCUGGAAGAUCCAAGCUUACUGUGAUUAAGGUGGUGGAUGCUAAGGAUGGGACCAGGCACACAGAAUAGAUAUCUGCAAAACCUGAUGUGGCAAAGAGGGCUCUGUAUGAAGUAUCCACUCUAUUGCAUCAAAAUCCCCGAAAAGACAAACCUCCAAGUUUGCCAAUGUCUUAUAGUGGCCAAAAUUUUCAUUCUUCUGGUGGUCCUAUGACAAAAAUGCUUCCACCGGGAAAUCCAAUGUGGCCUCAUCAGAACUCUUUUUCCAAAACUUUGCCUCUCAUGCCAUGGAUGGGGGGAUAUGGCAGUCAGCCCACAGGAUUCGGGCCAGAUCGCUUUAAUGGUGCUCCUCGAGGACAUGGUGGGGAACAUUCAGCUGAGUUUUCUAUGAAAAUUUUAUGCUCUGCAGGGAAAAUUGGUGGGGUAAUUGGCAAGGGAGGGUCUAAUGUAAAACUGAUACAGCGGGAGACAGGUACUAGCAUUCACGUUGAGGAUGCUUCUGCAGAGUCAGAUGAACGUGUGAUUCGGGUCUCUGCUUUUGAGGCUCUGUGGAACCCAAGAUCACAAACAAUUGAUGCAAUUAUUCAGCUUCAGAAUAAAACAAGCGAAUACUCUGAGAAAAGUACAAUAAUUACAAGAUUUCUAGUUCCUUCGAGUAAGAUUGGCUGUAUCCUUGGACAAGGAAGUCAAGUUAUCAAUGAAAUGAGAGGCAGAACCCGGGCAGAUAUUCGUGUUUACUCCAAGGAUGAUAAGCCUAAGUGUGCAUCUGAAGAUGAAGAGCUUGUACAGAUAUCUGGGAAUUUUGCUGCUGCCAAAGAUGCUUUGGUAGAGAUUGCAUCAAGACUAAGAGCAAGAACAUUGCGAGAUGCAAAUGCUGGAGUGGAACCUGCACCUGUUGGACCUGUCAGGGAUUUGGGCCUGCACGAAGCUUGCCAGGCAGAGGUCCCCCACCUUCUGGUAUAAUGGGAGCUAGUAGUUCUUCUGGAUAUGAGCCUCUCAGGGUAAAUUUUUCCCCUCUCAUUUUACCCAAUCUCUGGUAAAGUGCUUGUUAUUCCAUUGCUAUGCAAUUACUUGCUUAGUGUUAGUGAAAAACUUGGCUAGCAUAAUAGAGCAUGGUUUUGUAGUUGUACUGUACUAUUUUUGUAGUUAUCUUAUAGUUUUAGAUAAAAUUUUGUGAUUCUACUGCAAAGGUGCGUUUUGACCUUGACAAUCACUCUUUAUGCUUUUAUGAAGGAUGGUGGACAUGAGUAUGGACCUCAGAAUUAUCCAGUUCCUCCAGCUGCUAUUGUGUACUGUUGCUAGUUUGACUUUUUUAAAGACCUUCUGUUUGAAUACUAUGACCAAGUUCUUUAAUGUCUUCGAUUUCAGAUAUUGUAAAGUGAACAGUGCUAUGGAGGCUAAUAUUUCAAAUAAUGGAGUCAAUUCUGUUUUAGGGGCCAGGGAGAUUUCAAGUGUUGGUGAGGGUGCUGGAACAAGCAUAAAGCUCCUAGAUCCUCUGACUGGUGGCCCUGAAAACAUUGUUGAAUUCCGUGGAUCCUCUGAGCAACCGAAUGCUACACAUAGUUUUCUUCAAACCUUUGUGUCUUCUUCUGGACAGGACAUGAAUGCCCAGCAAGGUUCCCACCAAUGCAUGACUGCGCAGCAAAGCUCCUACCAGAAUGUGAGUGCUCAGCAGAGCAUCUAUCAAAACAUGAAUACUCAGCAUGGCCCCUUUCAGAACAUGAAUGCGCAGCAAAGCCCUUGUUUGCUUACUGCUCAGCAAGGUGUCUACACCAACACCAAUGCUCCACAGACUAACUACCAGAACAUUAGUGCACAGCAGAGCGCUUAUCAGUACUGACUGCAAUUUCUGAAUUUUUGCACCAUAGUUUGCUGUCAGGUUCUUAAUAACAACCUGUUGAACAGCCUAGAGGUCAUUUAAGCUUUUGCAUUGUCUUAGGCAUUUUCAGGCGGUGAAGGAAAACAUUUGGCUGUGCUGUGCUUGUGCAAAUCAUAAACAAUCUUUUCAGAGUAGAGGGAAUAUACAUGAUUUUCUAAUACUAGAUCUGCGGUGACAAUUCAAAUGUUAUUCUUGCUUUUCAUGACUGAAUCACAAAUGUCUGUUUAGGAAUUAGAAUCUGUUGGAGUUGUAAUUAUUAGUUUGAUCUUUCUUUCUGCAUUGAAAGAUUUGGAGUCAUACAGUUUGCUUAGCUAGGUACAAGUUUCCUGGAUCUAUUUCGUUUUCGAUGACAUAUUUGUUCUAGAGAGAUAAGAUCAUGUGUUUGUCCUUAUUUUUGUUAUUGU